UACAUUUUAAUUGAUCUUCCUGGUCUAGAUCUCUAAUGACCACUUGAUUUCACUUGAAAUUUUGUCAAGUAAACUCCUACAUGUUGACGUGACAUACUAUUAGUGGAAAACAAGUAUUUUCCAGUUGUCAAAUGUUCGUAGAAAUAAGUUUGUCGCUUCCUUGUUGGAUAGUAUUUAAGUAACAAUGCUUCUUCCAGAACACUAUUUCGAUAAGACUGCAAAAGGUAAGCGAUUUUUGUUUAGACAAUACUAUUUACAAGAGGUAUUAAGCUUAUGGAUGAAAUGAAUGUUUUACCUUUUUCUUUGCUUGAUUGUAUUGAAGUUCAUUAAUCAUAUCAAAUAUAAACAUAAGUAAACUGAAAAUUCAUAAAUUUUAAAAUUUAUUGUUUAAAUUGUGAUUCAGUCAAAAUUAAUAUUAAUUGUCUAUUUCGAUGUCAACAAUACAUCUUAACAUUUUGGAGUAAAAAAGCAAACUUGCCGCAUUUGUAAAUAGUGAUAUAACAAAAAUACCAAGCUCAAAGGAAAUUUCAAAAACGGAAAGCUCAAAUGACAAGAAACGCUCUAACACAUUAGAAACAAAUUCAACUUUCGGUUACAUUUUAAUAGUAGUAGUUGAUUUGACUUUUCGGUCACAACCUUAAAUAGUAGUAAAUAUGUCUUUUAAAUUACAAUGAUAACUUUAUUAUUUUAUCUCAAUUGUGCCUCAUGUAACUCUGUCAUUUUGAGAAUAAGAAGAGUUAUUUUAAUAACUUCGUGAAAUUAUCCUUAAUUGCUUAGAUUUUGUUUCUUUUAUUAGAAAGCAUUUUUUACAAUACAUUUGGAAAUAUUUAUUUUUGAUUGCCGACGUAUAGUUUAAUACUUUGUUUUCCCUCGUGUCUUUUUUUUUUUUACAGAAAUCAACAAUGGCUCGUUUAGUGAUGAUAUUUAUGAAUGCUUUUUUAUUUUGUGUUGUCACGGCCGAUAUGGAUAUGGUAUGUUUAUUUCUUUGUCAGAAAAGAAUAAGUUCAAUGCAUGAUUUAUACAAAUUAUAUGUUAGUUGCAUUCAUACAUUCUACUCCGCCUUCCCUUCCGGAGCAACACGACGUUGUUAUUGGUAUUUCUACUGCUCGUUCUUUUGUUUUCACUACAGUGUAUUUUAGUCUGUUCGUCGUUUGUCUUUUUAUCGAAGUUGCUAUUCUCUUUCAAUUAUUGUCUGUUAUUGUCCUCUUGGUGUUUUCCCAUCUUUGGCCCUUAAACUAUGAAUAAUUAAUAAAAAAAAAAACCAAUAUGUACCUAACGUGGGAAAUGUUUACUCUUAAUAAAUAUCAAGAAGAUGUCUACAGUCAUAUAAAGAUAUGACAAAGUCGUGUUUUGCUGUGUAGAAUUGAAUAUAACAUCUAGAUACAAGCAGAUAUUUUGACAAUAACUACAUUUUGUAUUAACCGAUUAAUAGUAAAAAAAAUAAAUUUACUCAGUAUUAGUUUUAUGCUUGAAGGAAUUACUGUGAUAUUCGCAUGCAAAUUAUAUCACGUGAUUAGUGAUAUACUUUUCAUAACCGCAAAUCGCCAUUUUUGGUGAUAGUUGUCUCAAUGGCAAUCAUUGGCAUUCAUGGCACAACUUCUUAAUUGUAUAUUGUUGAGAAUGCGUUUCUAUACAGCCUUUUUGUAAGGUCAAAUUGAACAGUUGUUAGAUUUUGGGAAUAAGUAGAAUAACCGUAUAUUUAGUCCCGAUAUAUAUAGCAGUACUUUAUAUAAAAUCAAAUACUUAUUUACUGGUUAUUCAAAAACAUCAAGUUGAUGGUCCCCUUCGAUAGCGACUUGUUGCUGUUUUAGGGGGCAUUACACUCGCUAUUGUUUUAAUAGCUAGUAAAAAAGUGUAUAUUACUGAUUCCAUGCAAAAAAUGAGUCGUUACAGAAUAGUAGCUAAAAACGGACAACUAAUAUUUAUUCUUUUCUCACUCAUCUAGAAUAACGGCAAAAUGAAUUAAGUUGGGGGAAUCAAGUGAACGCAUGGCAAUUAAUUAUAUGUGGCUUCUGAACAUAUUCCAAUAGUAAAAAGUAAAAGCUGUAACUUAUAAUGAUAAUUUCAUAUUGUAAUUCUUAUAUCGUAAUCAAAAAUGUUGAUUUGCGAUACUGUUACCUCCUGUAAGAACUAAAUAAACUGCAUUUAUUUUUGUAUUGUUUAUUUGAAAACAAACCUCUCAUGUGAUAUAUAUUUGUUUUAAAUUUGCGUCUCCUUCUUUAUCAUUAAUUUUGAACAAUUUGCUGCAAUACGAUUUUUUUGGUCUCCGACAUGUUUGGUGUUUAUUUGAAUGUUUUAAGGUAUUCAUAAUUUAUAAGCAAAACCUGUUCUUUCAUUUUAGAAAUUUGGUUAUCAUGUUAUUGAAGGGAAUGCCAGAUAUGUAGAAAACAUAGAGACAAAUCUAGUAGAGAAUACAGUAAAAAUUCACACCCCAGCACAUAAUGAUGUUAUGGAAUCGUACCAAAUCCAAGAUUUCCGUCAGGUUUGUAAAUGAACAACACUAUUAUCUAUGAAUGGUGAUUUUUUUUGCAGUGUGUUUUAAACUUAAUAACUAUAUCAUUUUUUUCAUUCUAUUAAGUAUUUUGUCACAUAUUUGAAAAAAAGCAAAAUACACUCUAUACGUAUCACAAAAAAUUAAAAAGUAUUUGUUAUAAUCAAAUAACUUCCUUAAGUAAAAAGUAUGUUUUCUUUACAGGGUCAACAGAUGAAAUGUCUCCCUUCCAUCGAGCAAUGUAGACUGCGGGACAUAGACAGAAAAACUGCUGGAGAUGCCGGUCAAGUUACAGAGGGAUUUAUCCACAGCUGGGUAUGAAAUAGAUGAACACUAUUCUAUAAUGUUAUAUUUGUCAGUUAAUCAAAAUCUGUUAAAAAUACAAAAAAAAAAAAGUCAGUCAUAUGCAUGGUUUUAGCCAUUCGAAAAAGUCUAUAAGAUUUUAAAAGCAUUCGAAUGUAAGUGUGCAUAAUGUUGUUCGAAAGAGGCAUUGCAUUGUGCUACGAACUCAAUAUUCUUAAACCAGUUUGUACGAAAACAUAAAUAGAUAAAGAUGUUUUUCAUUCAUUUUUGGGCGAACAGAAAGUAAUCAUUUGUAUAACUGAACACUGAUUAAACAAAUUAGCAAAGUACAGAGUCGUCACCAUCUUAAACCUACAAUGAUCAAUACAGUGGUUUCUGUUUUGUGUUUGAAACGACCGAAGAAAAAAUGGUCAUCUGUCUAGCUAUUUAUUUUUCGAUCCCGUUAUACUUAUCAUUGGCAGUAAAUCCGGAAAAGCCUUUCGAAAGCAGCAAAUUGAAAAAUAAAACAUUCUUUGUAUUAUAUACAAGAUAAAGUAGACUGAGCGUUAACAAAUAUCCUUUCUGCAACCUAACUCAUGGUUUAAAUUGAAAAUCUGUACAGAAAAAAAGCGAUUACAAACAUUGGACUAUUCAAAUAUCAACUCAAUAAAACAUUAUUUUGAAUAGAAAAAAGAUUCAGAAUUCUACAAUAACAUGAAUAAUAUUUCUUUAUUUUAAAGUGAACACGUAUACCCACACAUUGCUACCUGAUGAAAUAUAACAACCAUGUAUGUUAACAAAAAUUUACUUGUUUAAUGUCUUAUAUUCUUGUUUUCACAUUAAUAUAUAAUGUUUGUGUAUGUGUGUGUGUUUGUACGUCUGCGUUGGUAUGUUUACGUGCGAAUAAUUACUUCUUUUUUUAUAGAACAAAGGAGAUAAUACUAUAAAUAGUGACAACGAGAAAGUGGUCAAGGAAAUGUAUUAUAUCAAUUUGGAUGAGGUAGUGGAUGUCAGCUUCCUUGAAGGGGCUUUGAAAAAGUUUUAUCAGGAUUUUAAUUACCCUGUGUAUAAGGAAAAGAAGAUACCAGAAGAUGCUGAAAUGUUGAAUAUAACACGUUCAACAGGUUACAAAAACAAAGGUUAUCAUUUUUAAAUAGUUUCUUUUUAAAGUGAAGCGUAAAUAAUUUUCUGUGUUUUUGUCUGUUUUUGAUUUUUGAUACUUAAGUUUUAACUUCGAUAUUUGACUGUUUAUAUAUGAACUUUCCCUCUCAGGUUUAACUGUUUUACCUAAAUCUUCACCCAAUAAUCAAUUGUUAAUAAUAAACUCAUCACAAAUACCAGGAUUAAAAUCUAGCAUUUUCGCCAGACACGCAUUUCGUCUACAAAAGACCCAUCAGUGACGCUCGAAUCAAAAUAGGUUUAAAAGACCGACAUUGAAGAGCAUUGGGUACCAAAAAUUCCUAAAAGUUUGCUAAAUACAGGUAAGGUAAAAGAGCUUCGAAUUUUGUGUUUCACUGUUUAUACCUUGAUUUUAACACACGAUUUAACUGUUUGUACAUGGACUUUAAAAGCCUUUUUUUUUUAUUUUAUACCUGUAAUUUUCGUGUUAAAAAUUUUGGUAAAUAUUUUAUUUUAUGAUUUUUGAAAUCAGUUUGAAUAUGUCUUAUUUUGUAAAUAACGGAUAGUAUUCGGAUGCACGAUAAAUUAGUGACAGGCGUGUAGUGUUAUCCUUUUUCUCGAACCAAUUAAUUGUGAACUUGGAUUAAAUAAUGCAUCGUUGAAAAUGAUAACAGUGUUAUUUUAACUCACUUAUCAUACCUUCAUAUUAAAUAAGGCUUUCAUUGUGAACAGAUAUCAACACAUAGGAGUAAGUAAUAAAUACAACGGAUAACAGAUGAUUAAGGGGACCAUUUUUUUUUUUAUCAAGAAUUAAAGUUUACUUAUUGUUUCUAUAAUGCAUAAUCACUUCGCUGAUUAAACAGCACUCUAUAAUCGUGAAGUUGAGUAGAAAUUAUGAAAUAUAUAUAUACCGACAUCAGGAGACCUUAUAAUAAAAAUAAAAAAAUAUCAGCAAAUUUGGUUGCUGAGUGAAGUUAAUGUGAAUACCAUUUUUUAAUGGAUUGGGGAAAACUUUAAUUUUUGUUUCUAUUUGAUUUAUUUGUUUUGCCAAAGUCUGUAUACAAGCCUAGAGAAAAUUUGAAAUUCAUUGAAUGUUUAAAUUCAUGGUUCACCUGUACCUGCGAAAUCCCUGACAAUUAAAACACCGCCUAAGUUGACUGUAAUAAAACCCGCAGUAGAUUUUCAUUUUAGCGUUGAUUGAAAAAUUUAGGAGAUAAGGGACACAGGUGAACGUAUAUGUUAUCAGUUAUCAUAAAGACAAUAUAAGUUCCGAGUAAUUCAUUUUUUUUUAAAUCUUCAAACUGAUAAUAACAAACGCAUUACUGUAUUAAUCUAUAUUAAGAUUAGAAUGACCAACUGAAUUGCGAGAAUAUUGAAUGUAUUACAAAUCCAUGGUGUAAUAAAUUUAAAUAGAAAUAGGAACAUGACUGGAGUUUUAAUACAAUGAGACAACUCUCGAUGCAAGGAACAAUUUGUAAAAGUAAACCAUUAUAGUUCAAGGUACGGCCUUCAACACACAGUCUUGGCUCACACCGAAAGGGCCCCAAAAGUUUCUAGUUUAAAAUCAUUCAGACGGGAAAACCAACAGUAUAAUCUUUAUAAAAACGAGAAACUUAAUGUUUAUUAAAAAUGUACAUUGGAUAGGGUUAAGAUCUUAUAGUCGGAUAUUUGGACUUGUUUUUUCCAUACGAUACAGGGUAUUUUAUUUUGCCCCCUAACACCAAUUUUUUUCAUGAAAUAGCUCAGAAAAGAUCAUUCACAAAAACUUGAGCAGAUUUUAUAUUUCAUUUUCUAUUGAUUUAAAACCAAAUUAAUACCAAUGCAAAUAUAAGGUAAAUGUCCGAGUCGACCUUUUCCCAUUAUUUUGAAAGAAAAUUAAAUAGCUCACAAAGAAGUUCCGUAAGUUAUCAAUAUGUUUAGCUUGUUAUGUUUCCAAACUAAUGCUCUUCUGAAUUGAACUAUCCAUUUUGAAAUAUAGAUUUUUUAUUUCUCUUUAGUUCUUUAUCAUCAAAACUGAACGUUGUCGUACAAGAUCGGUAUCAUACACUGUGAGAAAGAACUGUAAUCGAUUGUAACAUAAUUUUUCAGGUGGUCGUGUUAAAAGGCAAUUCACUACGCUAAAUAACGAUUGCGAAGGACAGACAGCAAAAACAAUUUUUGGUAUUGAUUCAGGGAGAAGUUGCAAUCAUCUUAAAAUGUGUCAAACGUAAGUUACACUUAAUAUUGUUCCUCUUGAUUUCAACUGUUUUUGUUGGACUGCAACGAACGAGUCUUGUGUAGACGUGGUAAAUUCUAAGUCUGGAAUAUAUGAUGGUUCAUUUGUUCAUGAUUUGUUUUUAUUCGACACUAUUCUUGAAAUCAUUUCAACGCCUUACUUUGUUAUGAUGCCAAAGCUAUGCAAAAAAUGGCACGUUAUGAAAUAUCUGUUUCUCUUUUGACAACAUAUAUCGUCGGAAUUACGUGUUCGUCCUCCAUUUAUUUCCUUCUGAAUUUGACCUAUAGAAUUCGACUUAUCACCAAUUUUUUACUUACAUGAACAACACAAAUUAAAAUGUUCUGCCUUUUUUUUGGUUUAAAUUUCAAUCUAGAACGUAGUAUAAAUCCUAUCAUAUAUGUAAAAAAAAAAUAAGAUCAGAAAGAAAAUACCAAUAAAGAUACUAAAAGAAAAUUAUUUAUUCUUUUUACGCAUAUAGGGCACUAUUCUUAAGUUUAAAUUAAUAACGGCAAAUAAUGUUUAUUAUCUAACUAGUUUUUUUUUGUUUUCUGUGAAAACGAAUUAAAACCUGACAAUAUCAUCAAUUUGAUUUCGUAAAUAUUCCAGUUAUUAUCAAUUUCCUCAAAAUUUAAGAAUUACUUGUAUUCUAUCCCCCAAAGGAAUUUUCAUGGACAUUCUAGUUUUAGGAAGUUGGAUAUAUAACAGUUGUUUUUCUAAUUUUAUAAGAGACUCUCCGUCUUGAUUUUUUUCGGAGUUCGAUACUUUUGUUAUAUUACUAUUCACAAAUGAUUCUUUUCUAAGAGAAAAUGUUUAAGUUGAUAUGCAUACCUUUUAAAAUAACUAAAAAUAAUUCAUUUAAUAUCAUGGAUAUUUUCAGAAAGGAAAUGAGAAAUGGGCAAUGGAUACUGACGGAUUGUGACAAUACACACAUUACUUCACCACUAGUUUAUCUAUGCGUGUGCUGUCCUUGGGUAACAUCCAUCGAUCCAAACGGAAAUGAAUGUGCAUGUUCAAGAAUGCAGGACUGGUAGAAUAUACUAGUUAAGAUAAACACUCCAAAUAACAGGAUUAUGCAGAACAAUAUUCUUAUCUGAAUAAAAUAACAUUUCCAAUUGAAGUGUGUCUAUCAGCUUUGACCACCAUGGUUAUUGUUUUGUAUGAAUCAUAUCUUGAUGCAAACAUAGUAUUUCAGAAAAUAAAAUAUUGUAAAAACAUGUAGAUGCAGAAAAAUGUAAAACCAGAUAUAAUUCUUUUAUCAUAUUUAACAUUUUGUAACACCUAAAUACUAUCAACAUUGGUGACUUGCAAAGGAUGAAUACGUCUACUUCUUCUAAACUUCACUGUAGCUCCAAUUUUUUUGUUUAUUUCCUAUAAUGAUUUCCGUGAUAAGGGCCCGUGGAUAAAUUCGUCGUCUACGUUCAUAUCCGUGCAUAUGGACAUUACGAGUUGGUUGACAGUUAUGACAUAACCGUUUCACAUAUGAUAUCGGAAAUAGUCCUUAUGUCGUACCAACAAUCAACUUCCCUUUAAACAAAGAAUAUCAUCUACCGAAAUAGACUAAUUGCCGGUUUUGUUAUAACAUGAGCAACAUGACGGGUGCCACAUGUGAAGCAGGAUCUACUUACACUGCUGGAGCACCUGAGAUCCAAGUUCGAGAUGAAGUUUACAUGCCUCUUUCAAUCACGAAAUUAUAGUUGUAUAUUUACAUCUUUUUCGACAUUAUGUUAAUGGUGACAAUUGUCGAAAAAAAUUUCAAUGGGAUUUGCCUUAAGAAAUAUAUAGAGUGAAAUUAAGAACCUGAUGUUCAUUUUUCAUACCCAACUAUUGAUAAACCUUCUGAAACUAGACCAGUAUCUCCUUUGGAUUUUCCGUUUAUGCCCUGCAGUCUGAUUGCUUAAAGGAAGGGAGACUUUUCAUCUGCUGACCCUCUAAUGAAAACCUACUGAUUCAAAGAAAAAUAUAAGUUUUCAAAAUGAUGAUGAUAAUGAAUGGCUGAUUAACGUCCAGCGGCAAAUAUAUAUGCAUAGUCAGGACGAAAAUAUAUUAAUGUUAUAUGAAUAUUGACCAAUUAUUGCUCUUAUUUCUUAAUUACGAGUCGUUAACGUAUAAUCAGUAAACACCUAUUUGGAAGUCUUUGGUUUAAAGUGACAAUUUUCAAACCUUGACCUUCCAAUCUCGAGGCAAAGACACUACUACAGCUACAGGACCAUCGAGGGGCUAUAACAGUUUUAAGCAAUGUUAAUCAAUGCGGAAUAUGUACUAUUUUCAAUACAUAUAAUUAGACUUUGAAAUACAAUUCUACAAAACAUAAUUGAAUGUAGUCUCGAUGGCAGUCCUAGAGUAUUCCGUCAUUUGCGAUCACACAAUGAGUAAUUUAUCGUUACGAAUGGGUUGCUUAAAUAACCAGGUUUAAUUCCCUUCUUUCUAAUUAAGGAAAUAAAUUCACUUUAGGUACCAGA
Molecule: long non-coding RNA, 8566 nt
Filed under: Mytilus galloprovincialis (Mediterranean mussel)
Lineage: Eukaryota; Metazoa; Mollusca; Bivalvia; Mytilida; Mytilidae
Source: RNAcentral